Camellia sinensis is the source of this 5772-nucleotide non-coding RNA. Lineage: Eukaryota; Viridiplantae; Streptophyta; Magnoliopsida; Ericales; Theaceae. The record is from RefSeq and is a predicted model, not a curated record.
UGAACUUGGUCUAACUGUCACCUUUUCUGCUACUGAUUGUUUGGUACAGGACCCUCAGACGGGGCAGACUAUUGGGAUCGGCCGUAAGCGUGGACGUCUCUAUGAACUCAUUCACCUUCAUGUUCCUACCUCUCCUCAGAUCGCUGCUCCUACCUCUACUUCCUCAUUAUCUCCCUUUCAUCUUUGGCAUUGUCGCUUAGGGCAUAUUUCUGUUACUCGUUUAAGGUCUUUGGUUUCUAGUGGACAGUUGGGUCAUGUAAUUCCCGAUCAUUUCGAUUGUAUACCCUGUCAACUUGCCAAACAACCUGCUUUAUCAUUUAAUAAAAGUACUUCUGUUUCCCUUGCACCUUUUGAUCUUAUACAUUCGGAUAUUUGGGGACCCUCCCCUACUACCACUAUGGGGGGAUCCCAUUAUUUUGUUGUUUUUAUUGAUGAUUUUUCCCGGUUUACUUGGCUUUUUCUCAUGAAGUUAAACAAGUUGAAGACUUGAAUAAUAGGGUUUGGGAUGCUUUGUAUUUCCUCUUAAAGGGUCUCAGGAUAGAAAUGUAGAAAUGACGUCAUGUCAACGUAAGAUUUGUUAGUAUAUGUUCAUCGUGAAUAUUGUUUGGAUUUAUAAUUCUGUUCUUGUUUCUCAGAAAUGAAGCUGUUUAUUGCCAAUAACCUGCAUUUCUUCGGCAACAAAUCAUUGAUGCACUUCCCUUUUUCCUGUAUUUUUUCCUUAGAAUCUCAGUCAUGUACUUGCUUUGUAGACAUGACAAAGCAAUAGACCUCUUCUCUUCAUUGCUUUUAUUUCUUCUUCUUCUUCUUUGGCUGGGAAGACAAAAGGAGACUUGAGCCCCUAACAUCAAAGGUUGACAAAGCAUCAGAUUGUAUUUGGCCUAUACGCCUAGUGAUUUGCUGUAAUAGAUUUGAAUUGUAAUCUAUGAACCUUCUCUCUCUUUUGCAAUUUCUCUUCCGUCACUAGUUUUUUUUUUUAUUUCCUUCAAGAAUAUGGUUCUACUUUAAGAUUUCAUUUUGUUUGUACCAAAUUCAAAAUCAAUUUUGUUUCCAAUUCCUUUCAAUCUUUAUUUUUUGUGACACGUCAUAUUUCUAACAGACCAAAUAUAUAGGUUUGUUUCUUUCUAGUAGUUGUCAGUGAUGACAUUAUUAAAAAAAGAAAAAAAAGAAAAAGAAUGAUUGGUUGACUCUGAUUUAGUUAAAUUCACUAGAUGACACAGAUUGGUUCUACUCCUCUUCAUCCCUAUUAUUUUCCUACUUAGGAAGCUCGUAUAUUUUUCUUUUUUCUUUUUUUUUUUCUUCUUCUUAUUUUCAAGUUUAGAUCUGUUUGUUUUAGUAAAUGAAUGUGUUUGUACUUAUAAUACGUGAGGUUGAUUGUCAACUGUUUUCUGCAUGUUUUUUAGCUCUGCUGUUACUUCAAACUUCAAAGUACUGUGAGACUGUUCAUAUGGUUUUGGAGUGGAAAUUCAUAUAAAAUCUAAUUCCUCCUAUGCAUGUUUAAUAGAUUUGAUUGAAUAGUUUAUGCCAAUGACUAGUAAAACGUAAAAUCUGGAUACAAUCAUAGUAAUCAUUGUACUACCAUCGUAAACCUAAAAUUCAAUUUCAACAACAUUUGGAGCCUGUAUUGUUUCGCUCCAUUAAAUUUGCAAUUGAAGUCUUUAUUAGGGUUACUUUUGGUACCAUCCAAACCUAAUAACUGUAUUUUUGCAAGAAGUCAUCAUUUUUUCUAUUUUAAAUUAAUUUGCGUAACCUAAAACACCUUCCCCUUGUAUUUGAGUCUUGUAUGAUACCCCUAUUGUCUCUAAAUGCUUUUCCUUGCCAAAAAAUAUUAACUUGACCCAGACAUUUAUUAGGUGAUCUUGUGUAAUUAAAUAAAUGACUACUAGGUUUACAUCCACGUAUUUCUACAUGGUCUUGAGGGCUGAGUCAUUGGUCAGGGAUGUUAAAUAGCAUGCUGCCGUUCUAUAUAUAGUUCUCUUCUUUUAUUUCUCAUUUUUUCCUUCUUCCUUCUUCCUUCUUUCUUUUUAUGUUUUUCUUUCUUCACAUACAUUUUUUAUGCCUGCAUAGUUAAUAUCUUUGUUAUGAUUAUAUAUUGACUUUCUUUCCUUGACAAGAACUUUAUACUUUAUUUUUAGUCAUAUGACUCUGUGAGUAUACUAUUGUAGACAUGUAGUUUACUAUCUACUAGUUUAGGUAUGGUUAUAAAAUUGGCACAAUUGGUUAUCUUUAGUGGAAUCUCCUCUUGUUGCUAAAAUGGUGUAAGUUCAAGUCCUUGAUGGGAUAUGCUUGUAUGUUUCCCAAAGACAAAAAAUGUCUCUCGUUUGUUUAGAGUGUUUCAUUUCUCGAAGCAAUGAUAAUUUGUUUGUCAGGUUUUAAGAACAUCUGUGCUUCUAGACCCUGCAGCCAAGAACACAAAAUCUGAUAAUGUUUGAUUUUUCUUCUUUGUAAUAAUCUAUUGCCAAAUGUUCUUUCAAGUUUCGGAUUUCAGAUUUCAAUUUCAAAGCUGGGGUGAGAUCUUUAACCUAACGGAUAGUGUAGUCAUUUAUGCUUUUUAGAGUGAUUAAAGACAUGUGAAAUCUCAUUUAAAAUUAUUCAUAUGUUAGAAUAGGCAGGCAGUGAGUCAGUGACCUAACAACACAAUAAAAUCAUCCCAGAUUCCAUUAUUCUGUUACGCAGACUUUAUAAUUUGUUAUAUUUGUAGUCUUGAGUGUUCAAAGUCCAAUGCUUUCUUUAAGAGUUUGAUUUUGCAACUUAUAUUGUUAGUUUCUACAAUCUAGUUGAUGUUGGAAAAACAAGAAGGAGAAAGGACUUGUUCACAAUCCAUUGUUUUUAGUAUAUGGUAGUUUAGUGAUUUUACAGGUUAGGGAUACAUUUUUUAUGGCAAAACUUCUAUUUUUUUAAAAAAAAUCCUUGACUAGGACUAGGUAUGCUGUUAUAGGAGUUUAGAAAGCCAUGGUUGUAGGAAAUUUUUAUCUUUACAAAUUUGUGUAAUGUAGUUUCUAUAAAAAAUUUGUAGUUGUAAUGAAAGUUUUUCCUGGUUAAAGCAUGAUUGUUGAAUUAUUCUACUGACUCGAGUGUGGAACUGAAGCAGCCCCUACGGAGUGAGGUACUUUUCUAUUUUUUCUAUUGGCUGAAUUUCUGUUCAUUCAAAUUUGUUGAACUCGCCUUAAUCAUCAGAAUCUGAACUUAUCUCUUGGAAUCCAUUAUUUUACAAACUGAUCACUAUUUUUUUGUUUUAAUAUGAACUAAGCAGUCCAUCACUAGUAGAGUGUGUAUCACCCUUUAAAGGUAGAGAUGGCAUGCAACUUUGAUGGUGGUAGUGCUGUCGGAAGGACUGCCAGCGUUAGGUGGUUGAGGUGGUGUUCUUUUGUUAAUUGUAGUGCUUGUGCUCUUGUGAUGAAGGUCAACUUGAAGUUGAGUGGAAGUGGAGGCAGAGGAAUUGCAGCUUAACAUGAUUGUGGUACUGGUGGCAUCAAUUGCCUUGGUGGCAAUGGUGGUGGUUGUUCAAGUGGCCAUGGAUUAUUGCAUUACUGCUUAUGAGCCAAAGAUACAGGCUCAUUUACUGCAUAACAUGUAAGUGAGUAACUGGCAUUACUUCACAGGUUCAGUCCUAGAGCUGCUACUUGUGCAAAUGAGCUUCUAUUUCUACGUUGAGCUUAUAUGUCUCUGUAUCUCUUUGUUGAGAUAUGUGGUUGGCAGAGUAAGUUUUGAAUUCCACAGCAGUUUUUGUUUUUCAUUUUUGAUAAUGAGGAACCCUUGACUCCACCUUCGGUGAGACCUGGGAUAUGUGUAGCUUCACAUAUCGGGCAAAGUUGAACAUAAAACCUUCUGGUUAUUUACUUGGGGACUCACCAUUUGAGCUAAACCCUUAUGGGUAUGAAUUCCAUACGAGUUAGUGUAUCGUUUUGUCAAUGGAAUUGAUUUUUUAAUUUUUGUUAAAGGUAUACUUUCGUAUUAUUGGCUAGUCUUAGAACAUGCAUAUCAAGGUAAAAUAGAUUUGUAAGGCUUUCAAUCCCAGGUGUGUGGAUCAGCUGGAAACAGUGAGUGGUGCAUCCUCCUGAGCCAAAGGACCCUCUUUGGCUAUCAAAUGGGAAUGUAUUUAACAUUUUCAUUAAUGGAAACUGGAUAAAGGUGUGAUCAGUCAACUCUCAUACCAUAAUUUGAAACGGAGUUCACUUAGUAGCUAGUUGUUGGUCUUCGAUAGUUAAUUUCAAUAAUGGCAUUAUUCAUGCAAAUUGAAGUCACUUUACCUGUAACAUGACAAUUCUUUAUGUUCUGUUGUUAGCUACUGGUGGGGAAUAUGGAUGAGGUAAUGAUGUAGAACGGCUAUUAAGAAAUCCGUUCAAUAAUCUAACUGUGCCAUAAAAUCCAUUCUGAAUGCAAUUAGAGAAUAGCAAGAGGAGUUUGUUGGAAAUAUGAGGUCCAGAGAAUUUGUAGAAACUAUCAAAUGGUAAGUCCCCAGAUCAACAACCAAGUGGUUUUAGGUUCGACUCCCUACUUUGCCCAAUAUGUGAGGCUAGUGGGUGGUCACACAUCCAGAAUUUUCUCCCAGCUCUCAUCAAAGGUGGGAUCAGGGGUUCCUCAUCACACACACACACACACACACACACACACAUAUAUAUAUAUAUAAAACUGGUAUGAAAUUCAUAACUAUGUUCAAGCCAUUAAUCACUGGCUCAUAAGUAGUAAUGCAUAUCCCUUUGACCAAUAAAAUGAUUUUCAAGAAGACAAAAAGGAAAGGAAAAAGGAAUACAACCUAUAGAAGGGUAAAGUACAAAUAUACUGCAGAGAAAAAUAAAACAAAACUGACCAAACUAGUGUUUUUGUUUACCAACGAGGAGUUUCAUCAGUUGAAGAUAACCAAACCACCUAAAAAAGUUUCUCCAUGAGUCUUGAUUUCGAGUUCACAGGAAGACAUUCUAAAGAAAAAUGUGUUUCAUGGAAAACUUGUUAGUUUGGUGCUUCAUUUUGUUUCCCUAUUUAUUUUCAGUUUCAGAUUUCACUCUAUGAAAAUUGAUAGUUUAGACUUCCGUAAUGUAAUCUAAUUCUAUAUGUAGAAAAGAGUUAAUCCUUGCAAUACCUACAGCUACUUUUAGGCAACAUGUGAUGGGGCUGCUGAUUUAGUGCACAAGCUCCAGCUUGCAGCAGUGUCUGAGAGAGAUAAAAGGUAGGCAGUCUUACAUCAAGUCACCAAGGCCGUGACUCAAACAUGCGCCACAAAGCUUGGGGUGGAUAGUAGUGGAAUGCCAUCGCACCAAGUCACAACCACACUCUAAUUACAGACCAAGAAACAAUGAGAGUGAAGAAAGAGAUUUAAAAAAUGACUUCUUCUUCUAACAAUAGCAACAUAAGAUUACAACUGAGACUGUGCAAUUGUGGAAGAACCGCUGCCAUAUAUAUUGUAAGAACCAAUGAGAAUGGAAAUCAAGGGCGUUUGUUCUUUGUUUGCCCAUCAAAAUAUAGUAACACUCCCACUCCCCAUUGUAAUUACUUCAAGUUUGUAGAUGAAGAUGAUGAAGACGUUACGCCCAGAAUCUGUUCCAACACUAGAGCUUGUGAUGCUAUAACAGUAGAAGACUUUAACGAUGUAAGGACGAGGCUUGAUGAUAUGGAAAAUGACUAUGGUCGAAGGCUUGAAAGGAUAGAAAAUAAUAUCAAAGCGAUGGUGUGUUUCAUUGUAUUUUCUAUCAUUUUGUACUUUAUGAUGUAACUUUUGUACUUUAUUGUAUUUUGGGAAACUAAAUAGAAGUUUCUAUCAUUUUGGGUUUUAUUGUA